RNAcentral lists this ribosomal RNA (289 nucleotides) under Salinivibrio sp. AR640. Its description in RNAcentral is "partial 23S ribosomal RNA". It matches the Rfam family "Bacterial large subunit ribosomal RNA", at positions 2654 to 2925 of the family's 2925-position model. The record is from RNAcentral. Lineage: Bacteria; Pseudomonadati; Pseudomonadota; Gammaproteobacteria; Vibrionales; Vibrionaceae.
UUGGAUGAUUGAGGGGAGCUGCUCCUAGUACGAGAGGACCGGAGUGGACGAACCGCUGGUGUUCGGGUUGUGUCGCCAGACGCAUUGCCCGGUAGCUAAGUUCGGCACAGAUAAGCGCUGAAAGCAUCUAAGCGCGAAGCUGGCCCCGAGAUGAGUCAUCCCUAGAGCUUCGAGCUCUCUAAAGGGUUGUYSUAGACUASRACGUUGAUAGGCAGGGUGUGUAAGCGCUGUGAGGCGUUGAGCUAACCUGUACUAAUUGCCCGUGCGGCUUAACCAUACAACACCCAAG